AGCAAUGAUACUUUUAUUAAACACAAUGUAAGUUAUAGUAGCUGUAAACAUGCCUAAAAUUAUAAUUACAGUGACUGAGUUUUAAUCCCUGCUU
Molecule: small nucleolar RNA, 94 nt
Organism: Fundulus heteroclitus (mummichog)
Lineage: Eukaryota; Metazoa; Chordata; Actinopteri; Cyprinodontiformes; Fundulidae
Product: small nucleolar RNA snR65
Exons: 1
Source: RefSeq, a predicted model, not a curated record